RNAcentral lists this ribosomal RNA (439 nucleotides) under uncultured bacterium. Its description in RNAcentral is "partial 16S ribosomal RNA". It matches the Rfam family "Bacterial small subunit ribosomal RNA", at positions 339 to 795 of the family's 1533-position model. The record is from RNAcentral.
CUACGGGUUGCUGCCGCAGGGAAUAUUGCACAAUGGACGGAAGUCUGAUGCAGCGACGCCGCGUGGAUGAUGAAGGCCCUCGGGUUGUAAAAUCCUUUUCAGGGGGACGAGGAAGGACGGUACCCUUGGAAUAAGCGUCGGCUAACUACGUGCCAGCAGCCGCGGUAAGACGUAGGACGCAAGCGUUAUCCGGAUUUACUGGCGUAAAGCGUCUGUAGGCGGAAUGGUAAGUUGGACGUGAAAGCUCCGGGCUCAACCCGGAGAGGUCGUUCAAUACUGCCAAACUAGAGGGCAUCAGAGGAGCGUGGAAGUUCCGGUGUAGCGGUAAAAUGCGCAGAUAUCGGAAGGAACACCAAUGGCGAAGGCAGCGCUCUGGGAUGAACCUGACGCUAAGAGACGAAAGCUAGGGGAGCGAACAGGAUUAGAUACCCCGGUAGUC